This 654-nucleotide ribosomal RNA is filed under the name uncultured bacterium. Its description in RNAcentral is "bacterial SSU rRNA". It matches the Rfam family "Bacterial small subunit ribosomal RNA", at positions 122 to 794 of the family's 1533-position model. The record is from RNAcentral.
UAACCUGCCGUAUACCGGGGGAUAACACUUGGAAAUAGGUGCUAAUACCGCAUAAGCGCACGGCUCCGCAUGGGGCAGUGUGAAAAACUCCGGUGGUAUACGAUGGAUCCGCGUCUGAUUAGCUAGUUGGCGGGGUAACGGCCCACCAAGGCAGCGAUCAGUAGCCGGCCUGAGAGGGUGGACGGCCACAUUGGGACUGAGACACGGCCCAAACUCCUACGGGAGGCAGCAGUGGGGAAUAUUGCACAAUGGGGGAAACCCUGAUGCAGCGACGCCGCGUGAGUGAAGAAGUAUCUCGGUACGUAAAGCUCUAUCAGCAGGGAAGAAAAUGACGGUACCUGACUAAGAAGCCCCGGCUAACUACGUGCCAGCAGCCGCGGUAAUACGUAGGGGGCAAGCGUUAUCCGGAUUUACUGGGUGUAAAGGGAGCGUAGACGGCAGCACAAGUCUGGAGUGAAAUCCCGGGGCUUAACCCCGGAACUGCUUUGGAAACUGUGCGGCUGGAGUGCAGGAAGGGUAAGCGGAAUUCCUAGUGUAGCGGUGAAAUGCGUAGAUAUUAGGAGGAACACCGGUGGCGAAGGCGGCUUACUGGACUGUAACUGACGUUGAGGCUCGAAAGCGUGGGGAGCAAACAGGAUUAGAUACCCUGGUAGU